Molecule: long non-coding RNA, 351 nt
Filed under: Cyanistes caeruleus (blue tit)
Lineage: Eukaryota; Metazoa; Chordata; Aves; Passeriformes; Paridae
Description: lncRNA (ENSCCEG00000019541.1)
Source: RNAcentral
CAACAACUGCUUCGAGAAAACACAGCACUACUACAUGCAACCAGACAGGAAAUAGACCAAAAAGCACGUUUUCAAAUCAAAAAACAAAUCUGAAGACUAUCAAAAAUGUAGAUGAAGAAGGAAGGCCAGAAAAUCCGUGAAUGGAUGUUGUGACACUGAGAACUUCAAUGUCCAAAAUUACUGAGCAUCCCAUUCCUUUUAUCAAGCCACCUAGGUAGAUUCUUGAAUCCACCUCCUGGAAAGGAGGCAUAAACCUGCUGCCUGAGCUGUCUUAAGAGCUUGAUCAAGCAGUGAGGUAAGUGCCUUUUACUACAUGGAAACUACAAGGUCAGAAGGGGAAAAAGUACUGAC